GCAGUCGAACGGCAGCAUGAUCUAGCUUGCUAGAUUGAUGGCGAGUGGCGAACGGGUGAGUAAUACAUCGGAACGUGCCCUGUAGUGGGGGAUAACUAGUCGAAAGAUUAGCUAAUACCGCAUACGACCUGAGGGUGAAAGUGGGGGACCGCAAGGCCUCAUGCUAUAGGAGCGGCCGAUGUCUGAUUAGCUAGUUGGUGAGGUAAAGGCUCACCAAGGCGACGAUCAGUAGCUGGUCUGAGAGGACGAUCAGCCACACUGGGACUGAGACACGGCCCAGACUCCUACGGGAGGCAGCAGUGGGGAAUUUUGGACAAUGGGCGAAAGCCUGAUCCAGCAAUGCCGCGUGUGUGAAGAAGGCCUUCGGGUUGUAAAGCACUUUUGUCCGGAAAGAAAUGGCUCUGGUUAAUACCUGGGGUCGAUGACGGUACCGGAAGAAUAAGGACCGGCUAACUACGUGCCAGCAGCCGCGGUAAUACGUAGGGUCCAAGCGUUAAUCGGAAUUACUGGGCGUAAAGCGUGCGCAGGCGGUUGUGCAAGACCGAUGUGAAAUCCCCGAGCUUAACUUGGGAAUUGCAUUGGUGACUGCACGGCUAGAGUGUGUCAGAGGGGGGUAGAAUUCCACGUGUAGCAGUGAAAUGCGUAGAGAUGUGGAGGAAUACCGAUGGCGAAGGCAGCCCCCUGGGAUAACACUGACGCUCAUGCACGAAAGCGUGGGGAGCAAACAGGAUUAGAUACCCUGGUAGUCCACGCCCUAAACGAUGUCAACUAGUUGUUGGGGAUUCAUUUCCUUAGUAACGUAGCUAACGCGUGAAGUUGACCGCCUGGGGAGUACGGUCGCAAGAUUAAAACUCAAAGGAAUUGACGGGGACCCGCACAAGCGGUGGAUGAUGUGGAUUAAUUCGAUGCAACGCGAAAAACCUUACCUACCCUUGACAUGCCACUAACGAAGCAGAGAUGCAUUAGGUGCUCGAAAGAGAAAGUGGACACAGGUGCUGCAUGGCUGUCGUCAGCUC
Molecule: ribosomal RNA, 1016 nt
Filed under: Ralstonia pickettii
Lineage: Bacteria; Pseudomonadati; Pseudomonadota; Betaproteobacteria; Burkholderiales; Burkholderiaceae
Description: bacterial SSU rRNA
Rfam family: Bacterial small subunit ribosomal RNA
Source: RNAcentral